AGAGCAAAUUUUCCUUCUUCGUUUUCGGCAUUUCUAUAUUCUGAAAUAGUUUGCCAAUUCAGUGCUUCAUUUGUCGAGUCAAUCUUCCUGGAGAAGACUUGAAAAGGAUUUCCCGAGCAUAGUUGAGAUCAAUGUGAAAAUAAUAAUGCCGAAUCCACAUUCUUUGGAAACGAAAGACCCCAGGCCUGCGAGUAUUAUAAUCUUAUAAGGAGAUUACUAGAGGAGAGUGAUCAGAGGAUACUGACGGCAAAUGGUCGACUCUGGUGGAAGCAAAACGGCUUUUAUAUAGAAGCGGGCAGUCCCCAUUCAAAAGGAUUCUAUCUAGUCUGGCCCAGAUACAAUGUUGACCGGUUUGAUUAUUGCUCCAAGUCAAUUUGCUGUCAUUGAAAGCCCAAUCAAAUAAUCCAAACGAGAAAAUCAUAUCUUCAAAGCUCAUCACUUCAAUAAAGGCAUUGAAGUCAGGAGGCCGACCCCCAAGUUUUUUCUAAUGGAUCCGCAAUUACAUUAAAGUUCCCCCUACUAGCCACGGGAAGUUAAUGCAAGUCGAUAGGUCCUUCAAUCAUCGAGUACAUUAUCAACUU
RNAcentral lists this long non-coding RNA (581 nucleotides) under Capsicum annuum. RNAcentral's name for it is "long non-coding RNA (CANN_LNC011249)". The record is from RNAcentral. Lineage: Eukaryota; Viridiplantae; Streptophyta; Magnoliopsida; Solanales; Solanaceae.